RNAcentral lists this ribosomal RNA (207 nucleotides) under uncultured bacterium. Its description in RNAcentral is "partial 16S ribosomal RNA". It matches the Rfam family "Bacterial small subunit ribosomal RNA", at positions 568 to 774 of the family's 1533-position model. The record is from RNAcentral.
CGUGUAGGCGGUCUGAUUAGUCUGAUGUGAAAGCCCUGGGCUCAACCCAGGAAGUGCAUUGGAUACUGUCAGACUUGAAUACGGGAGAGGGUAGUGGAAUUCCUAGUGUAGGAGUGAAAUCCGUAGAUAUUAGGAGGAACACCGGUGGCGAAGGCGGCUACCUGGACCGAUAUUGACGCCGAGACGCGAAAGCGUGGGUAGCAAACA